This 772-nucleotide ribosomal RNA is filed under the name uncultured Neocallimastigales. RNAcentral's name for it is "partial large subunit ribosomal RNA". It matches the Rfam family "Eukaryotic large subunit ribosomal RNA", at positions 24 to 643 of the family's 3401-position model. Lineage: Eukaryota; Fungi; Neocallimastigomycota; Neocallimastigomycetes; Neocallimastigales. The record is from RNAcentral.
ACGACUACAUAUCAGGCAUAUCAAUAAGCGGAGGAAAAGAAACUAACUAGGAUUCCCUCAGUAACGGCGAGUGAAGCGGGAAGAGCUCAAAUUUGAAAUCUUCAAGGUUUUACCUUGACGAAUUGUAGUUUAAAGAAGUGUUUUCUGUUGGAGUUUUGGUAAAAGUUCUUUGGAAUAGGACAUCAUAGAGGGUGAGAAUCCCGUAUUUGACCAUUAUUUCCAGCUUUGUGAUACACUUUCAAAGAGUCGGAUUGUCUGGGAAUGCAGUCCAAAAUGGGUGGUAAAUUUCAUCUAAAGCUAAAUAUUGGCGAGAGACCGAUAGCGAACAAGUACCGUGAGGGAAAGAUGAAAAGAACUUUGAAAAGAGAGUUAAACAGUACGUGAAAUUGUCGAAAGGGAAGCGUUUGACACCAGUGUUGUUUCUACGAAAAUCAAUUUAUGAUGGCUUGAUGCUAAGCUUUAAGACUUUAUCCGCUUGUUGUUUAGUUUUCUUGUCUUUGUGAAUGCACUUUUCGUGGAACAAGUCAACAUCAAUUUCUUUUGCUGUAAAAGGGUAAGAGGAAGGUGGCUUCGGCUUCGGUUGAAGUGUUUAUAGCCUUUUAUCUCUGCAGUCGGAGAGAUUGAGGUCUGCAGCGUAGACUCUUCGGGGUUAGAUACGUCGGUGCUAAGCUAUAGCUUUUCAUAGACAACUUGUUGACUAUGUUUAGUCAUGUGGCUUACCCGCUGGCGCUAUUUUACCUACGCUUAGGAUGUUGACACACGCGCGUGCUCG